Lemur catta (Ring-tailed lemur) is the source of this 101-nucleotide long non-coding RNA. RefSeq lists it as uncharacterized. The record is from RefSeq and is a predicted model, not a curated record. NCBI's taxonomy places the organism in Eukaryota, Metazoa, Chordata, Mammalia, Primates, Lemuridae. The transcript has 3 exons.
UAAGACAGAAGAAGAUGAGGAAAAUUGUGGCUCAUCAUGUUUAAUGCUCAAAACCAGUGAGGAUUGAGAACAGAUCUUACAAACAGAAGGGUCAAGAAGGA